This 192-nucleotide unclassified non-coding RNA is filed under the name uncultured Sordariomycetes. Its description in RNAcentral is "sequence contains ITS1". Lineage: Eukaryota; Fungi; Ascomycota; Sordariomycetes. The record is from RNAcentral.
CCGAGUUUACCAACUCACCAACCCCGUGUGAACGUACCGUCUCCCGUUGCUUCGGCGGCGUCGCCCCGGGCGCGGGCCUGCUGAAGGCCGCCAGCCCCGGAACCAGGCGCCCGCCGGGGGACCCCCCCAAAAACCUCUGUGCCGUCUAAGUGGCUUCUUCUGAGUUGCGCUCUCUGAGCGGAAAAUGAAUCA